AAUCGGUUCACGUACGAUCACCGAUGUUAAGCAACGUCGAGUCUAGUCAGUAUCUAGAUGGGUAAUCGCUUGGGAAUACCAGGUGCUGUAAG
Molecule: ribosomal RNA, 92 nt
Filed under: Acanthosepion pharaonis
Lineage: Eukaryota; Metazoa; Mollusca; Cephalopoda; Sepiida; Sepiidae
Source: RNAcentral